This is a long non-coding RNA of Lycium barbarum (goji berry), 1008 nucleotides long. RefSeq lists it as uncharacterized. The record is from RefSeq and is a predicted model, not a curated record. Lineage: Eukaryota; Viridiplantae; Streptophyta; Magnoliopsida; Solanales; Solanaceae. The transcript is spliced from 3 exons.
GGUGAUUGAAAAUAAUAUUUGGUGUGUGUAUAAAGAGGCUAUGGAUUAUGUUUUACUACAUGAUUAUGAUAAUGAGUGUAGGAAGUGUGCUAAAAUUGUUGCUAUUUAAAUAAAUUGUGAUUAAGAAUUUAUCUUGGAUUGUAGAGUAAAUAAUAUAAAUAGGGUCCAUGCAUGAUGGACAAGUGCCAGCAAUGUAUUUAAUUGCAUGACACAUAAGGAUGCUGUUGCUUGGUAUAGUGAUAAAGUUUGCGUGAGUAAUUAUGAUGAGUUACACGUGCCUAGGGGGAGUAUUAUUAAAGGUAUCUACUUUUUAUUUUCUUUGUCCCUUUUUUUAUAAAAUAUGGGCUGCUACACAUGUUCUACGUUGGGGGCCUUCCCUUUAAGGUUGUAAAGCAAAACCAAUAUACAACAGCCUCUCAAUUGAGUUCUUACAACAUUCAAAUAAAUAAAUAAAUAAAUCCACAUGAGAAUAACGCAUAUCUCCCUCUCGGAAUGCCCGUGAUGCUAGUUAGCUUGAUUAUCUCAUUGUGAUUGUAAAGUAGAAGUUGUUCAAAGGGGAAGGAGGAUUUGGAAGGGCCGGCUCUGGUUAUCAAAGACCUGCGAGCUCGAGAAGUAGACGUUGGACAUUAGAUAGAGUUCAAGGUAGACAGGGAGGUGAGCUUGAUCCAGAUUCUUAGUAGCUGUCAGCUGAUUGAGAGCACUCCAUUGUUCGGAGGUGCUUAUGUUUAUUCUUUUGGUUCAUAUAUGUAUUUCGCGCACGACGGAGUCUUGUUCCGUCUACAUGUAUAAUAUGUCAGUAGAGGAUCGUAGACGCGCAAUGUGGGUUAGAUGGUCUCACAAGAUUACUAUGUCAUAUUCGUAUAUGUUAUUUUGAUGGCCUAAGGGGCACAUGUAUAUAAAAUCAUUUGUGUUGCCAAAUGAAAAAUGGUUAUCUUAUGAUUAUGAGAUUAUGAAUGAUAAAGAAAUGUAAAAUGGUUAUGACGAGUGAGGAAACGAGCGGUGUUCGGU